Long non-coding RNA from Notothenia coriiceps (black rockcod), 1341 nucleotides. RefSeq lists it as uncharacterized. Lineage: Eukaryota; Metazoa; Chordata; Actinopteri; Perciformes; Nototheniidae. The record is from RefSeq and is a predicted model, not a curated record. The transcript is spliced from 3 exons.
UCUCUCUCUCUCUCUCUCGUGCUUGUCGUGCCUUCUCUUUUACAGCCCUGGCCUCUGGUCGAAUGGUGGAAUGCAGUCUCAUUCCUGCAGAGUACAUGGACUGGACCUUCAGAGUGUCGGGACAUAUGGGAGUGUUCACUGUGCAGCACUGGAAAGACAUGAGGACUUUCUUUCUUCUCAAUCUUGAAGCUUCUAAACUUAUUCCCACAAGGAGACAGAAGAAAUGGUGUCCCCAACCCUCCUCUGUGUACUGUAAUCAUAAUCAUCACGAGUCAUUCUGCCCUGUCAUCCUGAGCAGAGGGGAGGUGAGUGUCUUUGAGAACAAUGGGAGGAAGGCUGUGAGUUGCUAAUCCCACUCGCUCACUCAGCCCAUCCAGACACCCACACCACUGUCAGGGGGUGCCAAGCUGCCUUUCACAACUCCAUCCAGCCACAACACAGAGCAGAGUGUGUGAAGCAUGCUGACUCAUAUGGACUUCCUUUCUGGUGUGGUGAAGACACUUUGGGUAUACAGACUGACCUGUUGGCCACCAUCAUAAAGAAAACACCACCCUGAGGCCACUUGGUAACAGCAUUAGGAAAGUUUUGCAUAUUCCAUUCCUUACCUCACAUUUAGGGCGUUUUCUCUACAUUUUUUAUUUUAGUGCCUCUUUGUAAAAUUCCUUCUGAUAAAGUAGGGACAACUAUUUCCACUUGUUAAAAAAGUCAAAUAAAGAUGGACUAUGCAUGGUUGUCUGAACUCAGUUGAAAGCAGACUGCCAAGAUCUCCUCGGAGAACCGGGGACCGACUUUACCACCGCCCCGCUUCCCAGCAUCGACAGUCGGUCAUGGGACUGCGAGGCCCGCCGCCAGCUGGCCAGAGAUAACAUCUUUGAUGUGUGACGCAGCGGGGAGACGCCUCCACCAUGCCGACUCUCACAAACUGCAGGAAGAAUAAAAACAUUGCCUCAUUUCACUGCAACGUGGACUUAUUCAUAAAAAAAUGUUGUUUUUCUGUUGGGAAACAAACCGAGUUUUGAAAGACAACUACUGGUGCCAUAUUAAAUUAAAACUAAACACAAAGUCCUCCAAAUGAGUCAUUUCAAAAUAAAAAUAAAUCAUGAAAAUGACUGAAUUAAACACUUUGAGAGGAGCAGCUUGCAUUACAGUGGCUUCCAUUAGACUAUUGGGCCUAUUGAAAAUGUUGGUAAAUAAAUCCCUUUGAUCAGAUAACUGCUGGGAUUGCUUUCAGGGUUGAUACAGGUGUGCAGCAGGUGGAUCAAUCAGGUGCAUCUUUAGACCUUGAGCUCGGAUCGACGCGGGCUUUAGGACCCCGGGAUGAGCUGGGUGAGAGGCAAAGUG